GACGAACGCUGGCGGCGUGCUUAACACAUGCAAGUCGAACGGAAAGGCCCUGCUUUUGUGGGGUGCUCGAGUGGCGAACGGGUGAGUAACACGUGAGUAACCUGCCCUUGACUUUGGGAUAACUUCAGGAAACUGGGGCUAAUACCGGAUAGGAGCUCCUGCUGCAUGGUGGGGGUUGGAAAGUUUCGGCGGUUGGGGAUGGACUCGCGGCUUAUCAGCUUGUUGGUGGGGUAGUGGCGUACCAAGGCUUUGACGGGUAGCCGGCCUGCGAGGGUGACCGGCCACAUUGGGACUGAGAUACGGACCAGACUCCUACGGGAGGCAGCAGUGGGGAAUAUUGCACAAUGGGCGGAAGCCUGAUGCAGCAACGCCGCGUGCGGGAUGACGGCCUUCGGGUUGUAAACCGCUUUCGCCUGUGACGAAGCGUGAGUGACGGUAAUGGGUAAAGAAGCACCGGCUAACUACGUG
RNAcentral lists this ribosomal RNA (468 nucleotides) under uncultured bacterium. RNAcentral describes it as "partial 16S ribosomal RNA". It matches the Rfam family "Bacterial small subunit ribosomal RNA", at positions 28 to 507 of the family's 1533-position model. The record is from RNAcentral.